Molecule: long non-coding RNA, 1245 nt
Organism: Ictalurus punctatus (channel catfish)
Lineage: Eukaryota; Metazoa; Chordata; Actinopteri; Siluriformes; Ictaluridae
Source: Ensembl
UGCGGUUAUUUUCAACACGUGAUUUUCGAGUCACUAAUCGGCGGUCUGCUUAAUUGGCCUUAGUGGUUUGUAACCGUGGAGCAUCUUAGCGAAAGUAACAGUACGUAUGCUUAUUUUUCCAAAUAAACAUUUAAAAGUGGAGCUCAAGAGCGAAUUGAGAAGAAAGAGAAAGAAUUUGACAAGGCAAAGCUUCUGUAAUUAGAUAAAUUUCUUCCUGUAUCUCGUCUACAUUCAUCGGAUUUAAGUGCCAUUAUUUGUGGGAAGGAAAUGACGUCGAAUGACCAACAAAUGAGAAAGCAUGAGGGUGGUAGAUCUGCGCGUACAAAGUGCUAUGAACGAGCGCGAAGUAUUGAGAAGUGAAGAGAGCAUGGCACAAAGGAGAACACUUCAGUUGGGCACUGAGGCGUUCAUGCUUCAUCUCACCAGCAUCUACACGUUGCUCAUGAUUCAAGGUGCAAGUCAGUAGAUAUCGCAAUUAAGUUAAAAAAAUUGUUGCUUGACAUCAACAAAGUUUCGAGCGAAGUCAUGAAUAAUGCAUUACCUUGUUCUCUCUCUCUCUCUCUCUCUCUCUCUCUCUCUCUCUCUCUCUCUCUCUCUCUCUUUAAUCAUUGUGUUAGUGAAAAGCCAAGUAGCCCAUUAAAACUCUGAUUAUGCUGAGGCAGCUAGCAUUCAGUUACAGCUCCGAUUCCUACAAGAAUAGUCCGACAGGCUUCUGUGUCCUUGCAAAUGACUUUGUCUUUUAUUUAAUGGAUUUUUUUUUUUUUUUUUUUUUUUAAAGUUUCAUUAUCUUUGUGACCCCUAAGCUAAUUAAAUUGCCUUUGUUCUGACAGAUGGUAGAAGUGUUAAGGGACAGUUUGUAACUUCAGAGGAGUUUCUUGUCGUGCUUAGUCUUUUUAUUUAUUUAUUUUUUUUAAAAAAAGAAAUACCCCGCUUUUAUUUUGUUUUGUUGCGCGCACACUGUUUUCUCAGCUAUGUUUGAUUCCACAGACAUCUUUCAGGAUUUAUAAAGUUCCUUAAACUCUCAGUUGGAUUCCUCUCUAUUUGUAAGCAGCGGUUAGAGAAAUACACGACACCCAAACGGUUUCUUUUCUUUCCUUUCUUUCUUUCUUUCUUUCUUUCUUUCUUUCUUUCUUCUUUUAUGUCGAAUUUUUAUUUUUGUUGGGUUUCAGUGAUUUUUCUGGUAAGAAGUGAAUGCAUGUUUGCGAGUGUGACAAGUAAUAAUAUUCAGUCAUUUUCAGUGACCUG